AGGAUCAUUAUCGUAUUAUAAACUUGAACAGGCUGUUGCUGGCUCUCCCUCUGGAGUGUGUGUGCACGCUUGUCUCAUCUUUAUUAUUUCUCCAACUGUGCACAUUUUGUAGAUCCUGGAACGGCCUUUUAUGAAUGUUCUCAUUCGAGUAGGGACUGCUGUUGCUUUUCAUUGAGAGGCCGGCUUUGCCUUUUUGCCUCCGGGUCUAUGUCAUUUUUCACAACCUCUCAAACGAGUUUAGAAUGUCUUUAUUAUGUGAAAAUAUACAACUUUCAGCAACGGAUCUCUUGGCUCUCGCAUCGAUGAAGAACGCAGCGAAAUGCGAUAAGUAAUGUGAAUUGCAGAAUUCAGUGAAUCAUCGAAUCUUUGAACGCAUCUUGCGCUCCUUGGUAUUCCGAGGAGCAUGCCUGUUUGAGUGUCAUUUGACCUAUCAACCGCUUCAUGGUGAACAUGGAUGUGGCUUUGGAUGUGGGGGUCUUUGCAGGCUUUUUUGAAUGUAAAAGAGGUCAGCUCCCCUGAAACGCAUUAGUGGCAUCCGAGCUGCUACUAUAGGUGUGAUAAAUUAUCUAUGCCUUUGGUAUGCGGCAUGAACGGAUUGCGCUGCUCACAACGA
RNAcentral lists this ribosomal RNA (613 nucleotides) under Inocybe sp. 4 SGT-2012. RNAcentral describes it as "eukaryotic LSU rRNA". The stretch from base 268 to 421 matches the Rfam family "5.8S ribosomal RNA". The record is from RNAcentral. Lineage: Eukaryota; Fungi; Basidiomycota; Agaricomycetes; Agaricales; Inocybaceae.